This 253-nucleotide ribosomal RNA is filed under the name uncultured bacterium. Its description in RNAcentral is "partial 16S ribosomal RNA". It matches the Rfam family "Bacterial small subunit ribosomal RNA", at positions 524 to 776 of the family's 1533-position model. The record is from RNAcentral.
UACGGAGGGGACUAGCGUUGUUCGGAAUUACUGGGCGUAAAGCGCACGUAGGCGGAUUUGUAAGUCAGGGGUGAAAUCCCGGGGCUCAACCUCGGAACUGCCUUUGAUACUGCAAAUCUCGAGUCCGGAAGAGGUGAGUGGAAUUCCUAGUGUAGAGGUGAAAUGCGCAGAUAUCAGGAGGAACACCGGUGGCGAAGGCGGAUCUCUGGGCCUUACCUGACGCUCAGGUGCGAAAGCUAGGGGAGCGAACAGG